Molecule: ribosomal RNA, 307 nt
Filed under: uncultured cyanobacterium
Lineage: Bacteria; Bacillati; Cyanobacteriota
Description: partial 16S ribosomal RNA
Source: RNAcentral
GGAGUAUGGGCCGUGUCUCAGUCCCAUUGUGGCUGAUCAUCCUCUCAAACCAGCUACUGAUCGUCGCCUUGGUGGUCCAUUACACCGCCAACUAGCUAAUCAGAUGCAGACUCAUCCUUUAGCACCGGAGUUUUCACGAAUACUAUUCCAAGUACGCGCAUAUGGGGUAUUAGCAGUCGUUUCCAACUGUUGUCCCCCGCUAAAGGGCAGAUUCUCUACACAUUACUCACCCGUCCGCCACUUUCCACCAACCGAAGUUGAUUUCUCGUUCGACUUGCAUGUAUGAAGCACGCCGCCAGCGUUCAUC